GGCUGGUUAGCUGAGUCCAUUGAGCAUGGUGCUGAUAACACCAAGGUCACGGGUUCAAUUCCCAUUCGGUCC
RNAcentral lists this transfer RNA (72 nucleotides) under Apaloderma vittatum (bar-tailed trogon). It matches the Rfam family "tRNA". From Rfam's summary of the family: Transfer RNA (tRNA) molecules are approximately 80 nucleotides in length. Their secondary structure includes four short double-helical elements and three loops (D, anti-codon, and T loops). Further hydrogen bonds mediate the characteristic L-shaped molecular structure. tRNAs have two regions of fundamental functional importance: the anti-codon, which is responsible for specific mRNA codon recognition, and the 3' end, to which the tRNAs corresponding amino acid is attached (by aminoacyl-tRNA synthetases). tRNAs cope with the degeneracy of the genetic code in two manners: having more than one tRNA (with a specific anti-codon) for a particular amino acid; and 'wobble' base-pairing, i.e. permitting non-standard base-pairing at the 3rd anti-codon position. The record is from Rfam by way of RNAcentral. Lineage: Eukaryota; Metazoa; Chordata; Aves; Trogoniformes; Trogonidae.